Molecule: non-coding RNA, 745 nt
Filed under: Pan troglodytes (chimpanzee)
Lineage: Eukaryota; Metazoa; Chordata; Mammalia; Primates; Hominidae
Source: RNAcentral
UUGCUGCGCAGGACCCCUUGAAAAAAAAUGAGGACCCGUCUCUUUUAGGUCACAAGAUUGCGCCAACCCUUACAUGGUCCUUAAAAAAAAAACCUUCUGACACUGCAGUAGUGAAAAUGAAGCGCACGAUGGGCGGAAGCUAGGAAGACAAACAUAAAGAUGAAGUGCUUAAUUCAAGGUCACACAAUGUCGGGGAUGGACCUCCAGAUUUCCUUACUGACCUGCAUUAUCUUGUGGAUACCUGAGUGAAUUCCACACCACCCAUUUUAUAGAUGAAACCACUGAGACAUGGAGCAACUGACUGAGUAGUCACUGCCCCACCCCUGCCUGGAGCCUCACACAUGACUCGUCUCCUCUCAGUGACCACAGGUGAGACGUGGUCUUGUAACACAGUGGUUAAGAAUGUGACUUUGGAGCCAGCCUGCUAGGGGCUGAAUUCUGACUCAGCCAUUUACUAACUGUGUGACCUUAGUCUUAGUCUAGUGACUGGUGUUGUCAUAAGAAGAGAGGGACACAGAGGGAAGAUGGCCACAUGAAGAUGGAGGCAGAGAUUGCAGUUAUGCUGCUGCAAACUAAGGAAUGGCUCUGGCCCUCCAAGGGUUGCUGAUAACCACCAGAAACUAGAAGAGACAAGGAAGCAUUCUUCCCUAGAGCCUUCAGAGGGAGCAUGGCCCUACUGACACCUGGAUUUCAAACUUGUAGCUUCCUAAACUGCAAGAGAAUAAAUUUCUGUUGUUUUAAGCCA